UAUCUCCUACGGGGGGCAGCAGUGGGGGAUAUUGCACAAUGGAGGGAACUCUGAUGCAGCGACGCCGCGUAUAGGACGAAGGUCUUCGGAUUGUAAACUAUUGUCGUUAGGGAAGAGAAAGGACAGUACCUAAGGAGGAAGCUCCGGCUAACUACGUGCCAGCAGCCGCGGUAAUACGUAGGGAGCAAGCGUUAUCCGGAUUUAUUGGGUGUAAAGGGUGCGUAGACGGGAAAUUAAGUUAGUUGUGAAAUCCCUCGGCUCAACUGAGGAACUGCAACUAAAACUGGUUUUCUUGAGUGUUGGAG
This 305-nucleotide ribosomal RNA is filed under the name uncultured bacterium. RNAcentral describes it as "bacterial SSU rRNA". It matches the Rfam family "Bacterial small subunit ribosomal RNA", at positions 333 to 654 of the family's 1533-position model. The record is from RNAcentral.